This 468-nucleotide ribosomal RNA is filed under the name uncultured bacterium. Its description in RNAcentral is "partial 16S ribosomal RNA". It matches the Rfam family "Bacterial small subunit ribosomal RNA", at positions 28 to 507 of the family's 1533-position model. The record is from RNAcentral.
GACGAACGCUGGCGGCGUGCUUAACACAUGCAAGUCGAACGGAAAGGCCCUGCUUUUGUGGGGUGCUCGAGUGGCGAACGGGUGAGUAACCCGUGAGUAACCUGCCCUUGACUUUGGGAUAACUUCAGGAAACUGGGGCUAAUACCGGAUAGGAGCUCCUGCCGCAUGGUGGGGGUGGGAUAGUUUCGGCGGUUGGGGAUGUACUCGCGGCUUAUCAGCUUGUUGGUGGGGUAGUGGCUUACCAAGGCUUUGACGGGUAGCAUGCCUGAGAGGGUGACCGGACACGUUGCGACUGAGAUGCGGCCCAGACUACUACGGGAGGCAGCGGUGGGGAAUAUUGCACAAUGGGCGGAAGCCUGAUGCAGCAACGCCGCGUGCGGGAUGACGGCCUUGGGGUUGUAAACCACUUUCGCCUGUGACGAAGCGUUAGUGACGGUAAUGGGUGAAGAAGCACCGGCUAACUACGUG